UACGUAGGGGGCUAGCGUUAUCCGGAAUUACUGGGCGUAAAGGGUGCGUAGGUGGUUUCUUAAGUCAGAGGUGAAAGGCUACGGCUCAACCGUAGUAAGCCUUUGAAACUGGGAAACUUGAGUGCAGGAGAGGAGAGUGGAAUUCCUAGUGUAGCGGUGGAAAUGCGUAGAUAUUAGGAGGAACACCAGUUGCGAAGGCGGCUCUCUGGACUGUAACUGACGCUGAGGCUCGAAAGCGUGGGGAGCAAACAGGAUUAGAUACCCUGGUAGUCCCUGAG
This 278-nucleotide ribosomal RNA is filed under the name uncultured prokaryote. Its description in RNAcentral is "partial 16S ribosomal RNA". It matches the Rfam family "Bacterial small subunit ribosomal RNA", at positions 524 to 801 of the family's 1533-position model. The record is from RNAcentral.